CCCUUCUCUUCGGCCGACCUCUACAAUUGGAAAUCUAACCAUGCCCCUUUUUCAGAAAAUCCCUCAAGCCUUACAGGUCUGAUGGAGUCCCUCAUGUUCUCUCACCAGCCUACUUGGGAUGAUUGUCAACAGCUUUUGCAGGUUCUUUUCACCACUGAGGAAAGAGAGAGAAUACUUUUGGAGGCGUGGAAGAAUGUGCCUGGAAUCAAUGGUCAACCAACUCAACUUCAGAAUGCUUCCAAGAGUCAGCAAGCGGCAGUUGCUAUGGCUUUUACUGGACAGUCUGCCUCUGAUAUUAGGAGAAGGUUACAGUGCCUGGAAGGUCUGCAAACAUUAUCUUUGCAAGACCUAGUUAAGGAAGCAGAGAAAGUGUGACAUAAGAGAGAGACUGAGGAAGAAAGAAAAGAAAGAGAAAAGAAGGAAGCUGAGGAGACACAGGAUAGACGAGAUAGAAGGCAAGAAAGAAACUUAACUAGGAUUUUGGCCACAAUAGUAGGCAACAGGGAAGCUCAUAGGAAGGAAGAAGGAACUAGGCAGACAGGGUACCUGGGUAAUGAAGGGCCAAGGAGACCUCGGAACCCUGAAGGAACCCCUCGGCAGCCUUUAGAUAAGGAUCAAUGUGCUUAUUGUAAGGAAAAGGGAAAUUGGGCAAGGGACUGCCCCAAGAAGAAACACAAGACACCCAAGGUCCUCACCUUAGAGGAAGAUGAUUAGGGGAGACGGGGCUCGGGCCCCCUCCCCAAGCCUAGGGUAAUCCUAACUGUGGAGGGGACCCCUAUGGACUUCCUUGUUGAUACCAGAGCAGAAUUUUCAGUUUUAAAGAAACCAUUGGGAAAAUUAAAAGAUAAAAAACCAUAGUAAUUGGGGCCACUGGCCAGAUACCAUAUUCUUGGACCACCAACAGGAAGGUUGAUCUGGGAAAAGGUCAAGUAACUCACUCCUUUCUCAUCAUCCCUGAGAGCCCCAUGCCACUAUUGGGGAGAGAUUUGCUGUCUAAGCUAAAAGCCCAAAGAAACUUUUCCUCAGAAGGAACCAUAGUCAGUUGGCAGACUCCCACUUCUAUGAUCUUGGCCUUAAAACUGGAGGAAGAAUAUAGAUUAAUGAGCCCCUGGCCCCACCAGACAAGACACUGGGGAGAACAUGGCUAGAGAGGUUCCCCAGAGCAUGGGCAGAGACGGGGGGCAUGGGAGAGGCCAAACGGGUGCCCCCCAUCGUCGUAAGCCUAAAGACUGAUGCAACCCCCAUUGGGGUACGACAAUACCCUAUGAACAAGGAAGCCCGAGAGGGUAUCAGACCUCACAUCCAAAGACUCCUGCAACUAGGUAUUCUGGUUCCUUAACAGUUUCCCUGGAACACUCCGUUGCUGCCAGUUAGGAAGCCAGGCACCAAUGAUUACUGGCCAGUCCAAGAUCUAAGAGAAGUUAACAAAAGGGUGCAAGAAUCCACCCUACUGUCCCUAACCCUUACAACCUGCUCAGUUCUCUCCCUCCUGACAGACAAUGGUACACGGUUCUGGACUUGAAAGACAUGUUCUUUUGCCUGAGACUACAUCCUACAAGCCAGGCGAUCUUUGCUUUUGAAUGGAGAGACCCAGAUCGGGGACAGGCUGGACAGCUGACUUGGACACGUCUGCCUCAGGGAUUCAAAAACUCCCCCACUCUCUUCGACGAAGGCCUCCAUCGAGAUUUGGCUCCGUUCAGGUCAACAGACUGUAGUGGUAGCCCCACACGCCCUGGAAAGCAUCAUCAGACAACCGCCUGACCGCUGGAUGAGCAACACCCACAUGGCUCACUAUCAGAGCCUCUUGUUAACUGAGAGAGUGCUGCUUGCACCCCCGGCUAUCCUAAACCCCGCCUCCUUGCUGCCAGAGACAGACUACUCAUUACCGGUACACCAAUGUAUGGACAUCCUGGCAGAAGAAACCGGAACCAGGAAAGACCUCACUGAUCAGCCAUGGCCAGGGUGCCCUAAUUGGUACACGGAUGGUAGCAGCUUCAUGGUUGAACGUAAGCGGAGAGCUGGGGCUGCGGUAGUAGACAGAAGCGGACCAUCUGGGCCAGCAGCUUACCUGAGAGAACGUCAGUCCAAAAAGCUGAGCUGAUCGCACUCACACAAGCCUCGCGGCUGGCAGAAGGAAAGGCUAUCAACAUCUACACGGACAGCAGCUCAUUUAAAGGCUCUUGAACUGGUCAGAAAGGGUGCCUGGGAACAGCUUAAAGGAGCAUACGAACCGGGAACCACAGCUGUACCACAUAAGUUCCAAGUGGGAGACUCUGUCCUGGUCCGGCGUCAUCGAUCCGGCAAUCUCGAACCCAGAUGGAAGGGACCCUACCUGGUGCUCCUGACAAGUCCUACCGCCAUCAAGGUUGAUGGCAUCCCAGGUUGGAUCCAUGCAUCCCACAUCAAAGCGGCCCCUCCUGCAACCCAAGAUGUCUCCUGGAAGCUGGAACGGACUGGUGAUCCUCUUAAGCUGCAUUUAUGUCGCCUGCUCACCACAGAAGAUUAGGUCUUGCUGCUCGUCCUCCUUAUUACAAGGGAACUGCCAUCUCUGGUACCAUCACCUCCGUGACAGAUCCAAAUCAAUGUUCCUGGGGCUCCCAAAAGUAAGCUCACCCUUACUGAAGCCUCAGGCUCAGGAUUAUGCCUAGGAACAGUACCUCUCUCCCACCAACACCUCUGCAACAGCUCAACCAUUAUGGUAACAGAGACCAACCCUUAUCUGUUAUCAAGUAACAAUAGCUGGUGGGUGUGUAGUACUGGGCUUACCCCCUGUGUCUCUACUGUUGUGUUUAACCAGUCAAGAGACUUUUGUGUUAUGGUUCAGCUGGUUCCUCCAUCUACUACCACCCCGAGGAGACAGUCAUAGAUGCCUAUGAUUAUAACCAAAAAAGGGACAAGAGGAAACCGGUAUCCCUCACCUUAGCAGUAAUGUUGGGUUUGAGCAUAGCAGCAGGAAUUGGUACCGGGACUACAGACCUCCAACAUGGCCUGAAUACUCUGCAGGCCGCUAUGACACAGAACGGUCUCUCUUGAAUUAUUGGGGCAUCGGCUUAUCCCGAGACUUGAGUGAGGGUCUCCCCACUCUGGGGGUCUUUCACCAACUACAGAGUUGGUCCUUAUAGUUGCAGGAGACCAGGAUCUGGUGUGAUGUCUGUGGGUCUAGAGUGUUGGGAGCUGAGUUCAUAUGUACCUAAAUAUGGUUCAGGAUGGAUGCUACAUGUCUAGAGAAAUGAAUUCUGUUCAGGGGAAUCUGGGAAGGCUUCUUGGAGGAGUAAACAAUGAAUCAGUGCCUUA
Long non-coding RNA from Mesocricetus auratus (golden hamster), 3294 nucleotides. RefSeq lists it as uncharacterized. Lineage: Eukaryota; Metazoa; Chordata; Mammalia; Rodentia; Cricetidae. The transcript has 2 exons. The record is from RefSeq and is a predicted model, not a curated record.